Molecule: non-coding RNA, 195 nt
Organism: Streptococcus parauberis NCFD 2020
Lineage: Bacteria; Bacillati; Bacillota; Bacilli; Lactobacillales; Streptococcaceae
Source: Rfam
AAAUUGCUGUGGCAUACGAGUCCACAUAUAAGUGUUGACCGACUAUUUCUUUGUAUUUCGGGAAACAAAGUUUCUCUCUAGUCUGCAAGCCGUUUCACGCGGAAGCAACUUCCAAGAGAGGACGCGUUACCCACCUGCUUAUAUCGUGCGGGAUCAAUACAAAACGUGGACCACCGGUGCCAAUACAGCAUUCUU